This 361-nucleotide ribosomal RNA is filed under the name uncultured bacterium. Its description in RNAcentral is "partial 16S ribosomal RNA". It matches the Rfam family "Bacterial small subunit ribosomal RNA", at positions 338 to 696 of the family's 1533-position model. The record is from RNAcentral.
CCUACGGGUGGCAGCAGUGAGGAAUAUUGGUCAAUGGACGAGAGUCUGAUCCAGCCACGUAGCGUGAAGGAUGACUGCCCUAUGGUUUGUAAACUUCGUUUAUAUGGGAAUAAAAUGUUCCACGUUUGGGAUUUUGUAUGUACCAUAUGAAUAAGGAUCGGCUAACUCCGUGCCAGCAGCCGCGGUAAUACGGAGGAUCCGAGCGUUAUCCGGAAUUAUUGGGUGUAAAGGGAGCGUAGGUGGAUUGUUAAGUCAGUUGUGAAAGUUUGCGGCUCAACCGUAAGAUUGCAGUUGAAACUGGUAUUCUUGAGUAAAGUAGAGGUGGGCGGAAUUCGGGGUGUAGCGGUGAAAUGCUUAGAUA